Molecule: long non-coding RNA, 1175 nt
Filed under: Olea europaea (common olive)
Lineage: Eukaryota; Viridiplantae; Streptophyta; Magnoliopsida; Lamiales; Oleaceae
Description: long non-coding RNA (OEUR_LNC014347)
Source: RNAcentral
UAGAACCUGUAGUGUCAUUAACAGUCAAUAAGAGAAUAUUUUCUUGCGACCAUAAAAAAUCUAUGCUUGAAUAAAAAAUCAUUUAUAUGUAUUUUUGAAGUUGAACAGCAUUUUGCCUUGUUAAAUAGAUAUUUGAAUCAACUACCCACAUUAACUAUGUAUAUAUGAUUUACUGUUUACACAUGAUGAGAACAACUAAUCAGUGGCUGUAGCAUCAGGAGAAGAAUCAAUAAAUUAACUUUAUUCCUUGGAAAAGAAGCAAAGGCAUUUGGAGUAUAACAUUCUGGUGUUUGAUAAAUACAUGUGUAUACAUUUCUAAUCAACAAACAUUUUCAAAUUCCACUUUGCAUUUAUUCAUCAAUCAACUAAGAAAAUAACCAUCCAAUGCUCAUUCUUGUAAAUAAGGUACUUGCAUGUGAAUUGAUAACUCUAAACUAAAAAAGGAUAUAUCCUAUAUCAUAGUCUGUUAUGACAAUCUACAUCAUAUUAAUUAGAUAUAAAUGUUGGAUAAUCCAAUCAUAGUUGAUGUCUAAAUCUAAUAGACUUUCGAACAUCUUUUAUGUUUUCAUAUGCUAUUCAAAGGUUGAGGAUGCUUGCAUGUUCUUCUAUUGUGUACUCUAUUGCGCACCUUCAACAUUUUGUUGAUUGCAACAUCUCCAUCCUAGAUCUUCUCUUCAUCUUCAUUGGCCUGCCUAGUUGCCUAUUAGAUACAGGUAAAAUAAUUUCAACACGACAUAUGAAAUUAUCUACUUUCCACUCUAUGUAAUCUCCAAGAGGGACGAUGUUCCCAGCAUAGGAACCCAAAUAACACUCUUCCAUGUGAUAUAUUGGACAAUAACUGUAUGCUUGCUCACAUCUUUCCCCAAUUAUAGAUAAAGCACGCAGACAUGGAAACUUCAUCCACCUAGAAACGGUCGCACAUGUAUGUCAUUAUCUUCAAAUAAACCAUGUGUUGUGUGUUUUCAUCUGAAACUUGGUACAGAAAAUCGUUUGAUGUAGAUACCUAAGAUAGAUGAGACCAAUAUUAGUAACCAUGUUGGUCGUUAUUCUAGUUCUAUAAUACAACUGAUGCAUACAAUGCUUAAUUAUCUGACACAUCAUACAAUUGUAUGUAUAUGCUCAUAAACGAAAUGUUCUCAUAAACUGAAGUUAUUCCACGUAUUUUAUAUGUAUUU